CGUGAGGGAAAGGCGAAAAGAACCCCGGCGAGGGGAGUGAAAAAGAACCUGAAACCGUGUACGUACAAGCAGUGGGAGCCUCUUAAUGGGGUGACUGCGUACCUUUUGUAUAAUGGGUCAGCGACUUAUAUUCUGUAGCAAGGUUAACCGAAUAGGGGAGCCGAAGGGAAACCGAGUCUUAACUGGGCGUUAAGUUGCAGGGUAUAGACCCGAAACCCGGUGAUCUAGCCAUGGGCAGGUUGAAGGUUGGGUAACACUAACUGGAGGACCGAACCGACUAAUGUUGAAAAAUUAGCGGAUGACUUGUGGCUGGGGGUGAAAGGCCAAUCAAACCGGGAGAUAGCUGGUUCUCCCCGAAAGCUAUUUAGGUAGCGCCUCGUGAAUUCAUCUCCGGGGGUAGAGCACUGUUUCGGCAAGGGGGUCAUCCCGACUUACCAACCCGAUGCAAACUGCGAAUACCGGAGAAUGUUAUCACGGGAG
This 480-nucleotide ribosomal RNA is filed under the name Escherichia coli. RNAcentral's name for it is "partial 23S ribosomal RNA". It matches the Rfam family "Bacterial large subunit ribosomal RNA", at positions 502 to 983 of the family's 2925-position model. Lineage: Bacteria; Pseudomonadati; Pseudomonadota; Gammaproteobacteria; Enterobacterales; Enterobacteriaceae. The record is from RNAcentral.